Coccinella septempunctata (seven-spotted ladybird) is the source of this 2044-nucleotide RNA transcript. RefSeq lists it as uncharacterized. NCBI's taxonomy places the organism in Eukaryota, Metazoa, Arthropoda, Insecta, Coleoptera, Coccinellidae. The record is from RefSeq and is a predicted model, not a curated record. The transcript is spliced from 3 exons.
AAGCAGCACUUCGAAGAAGUUUGAGAGUAAACAAGGGUAUUCCACCGAUUCGAUUAGGUGCAGAUGUUGGCAAGAGCGGACUGGUCUCGGGGAACAUGAGUGAUAAAAUGUUGUCUAGGAAUGGCCAGAAUUAUGAAGCUGAAAGGUCAAAAUCUGUUGAUUUGAAUCAGUUGGUGGUGAGUCCAUUAGAUCCAUUGUUAGAAAAAGGUUCUGUAGUUCAGAAGAAAACAGAAAACAAUCAUGAAGGGAGUAAAAAUGUGGAUGAUACAUAUUCAAACUAUGGUUCAAAAAGUAAUAAAUCAAGAGUAAGAAGCACUACGUCAAGACUGAAUUUGGAAAUGGAAGCUCUACGAUUGAAAGAAAGGUUCGAAAAUGAGGAGUGCAUGGAACGAUUGCGAAUGAUUCAAAGCAAAAAAGAAAUAGCUUUCAAAGAAUUGGAGCUGAAGAUGAAAAUGCUCGAAGAGGAAGGUGUCACUGAUGAUGGUUCACAAGGCACUAUGUCUGAAAGAAGUAUGUAUAGAGAUCAAGAUCAGGUGAGAAAUUGGAUACGUAAAUGUGAUCCUGACCGAGUGGCAAAUUCUGAAAGGAAGCCAGAUCCAGUCUUUCCUUGGGAAGGAAAGUUUGAAGAGAGGAGAGCUCACAGAGUGGCCUCUUUUCUUUAGCGAAUUUAAGAGAUCUUCUGAGGUUUAUGGUUUGAAUGAUUACGAUAAUUUAUUGAGGUUGGAUAGGAGUUUGAAAGGCAAAGCACGUGAAACUAUCAAACCACUUUUGAGUUCACCUGAAAAUGUAAGCAAAAUUAUGAAAAUGUUAGAAAUGAACUUUGGCAGGGCUGAUUGGAUAAUAUUGAGUUUAAUGGAAAAGGUUAAAAAAUUUGGGUUUGUCAAAGAAGAUAAAUUAGAUGUUUGCAUUGCAUUUUCGAAUGCUAUUAAUAAUUUAGUUACGACUAUGAGAAAUAUUAAUUGCACAUUGUAUUUGUUCAAUCCAGAACUUAUGGCAAUAAUUGUAGAGAAGCUUGCCCCGAUACAGAAGUACAAUUGGGGUAAGUGCAAGUUGCAAAGAGACAAAGAGGGAUUACCAACUUCGUUAGAAGACUUCGCGGCAUGGUAUGAGGAUGAAAUAGGAGCAGUGGCAUCGAUUUCUAAUCCAAUUUCAAAAUCAAAGGACAUAGUUAUAAACGCUGUUAUAAGAAGACGAGAUGUGGCGUAAACGGAUGUUCUGGAAAACAUCAUCAUUUGGUUCACCUGGCGGUACCUCCGAAUGAAGAAACGUUGGCCCACGAAAAUUCAUCCUUCUGUGGCAAGCUGUCAACACAGAAGCAGUCUGUUCUUCUGAGAAUAGCAGCCGUUGUUCUUCGAGGACCGAGCAAGGAAGUGACAACUUUCGCUCUUUUUGAUGAGGGCUCGACCUGCUCUUUGGUAGAAGAACAGCUAGCCAGUGAGUUGGAAUUGUCAGGUCCUAUAGUUCCAGUGUGCUUUCAGUGGACAAACCAGGUAACUCAUUAUGAAGAUAAUUCGAGAAAAGUUUCUGUCGAAAUUUCCGGAGGAAUUAAGGUGAAACAAAAUUUUUAUAAAAUAAGGAAUUUAAGAACUGUCAAAGACCUUGAAUUGCCUCAGCAGAACGUAGACAUUGAUGAAUUAAUGGAAAAAUAUCCGUACUUAGAUCAAGAAGUCUUGAAUUCCUUAAAUAAUGCAAAGCCUAGAAUUUUAUUAGGACAAGAUAAUUGUGGUUUAAUUAUUCCUCGCCAAAUUAUACAACCUCGUUUGAACAUGCCUAUAUUAUCAAAAUCAAAAUUGGGAUGGACAAUUCAUGGACCAGUUACUGAAAAAUUAUCUCCAAUUUCUGGAAAUUCCUCCGUGAAUAUCAACUUCUGUGGUUGUUGUUCAUGUGAUGAAUUAGAAAUCCUAGUGAAAAAUAGUUUCAAAUAUGAGGAUUAUGGCAGUAAACCAGGGGAUAUUUACUCAUUAGAUGACAAGAAAGCUUUGGAAAUCAUGGAAAAUACUUCGAUUUAUAAUGGAACUCGGUUUGAAAUAGGUCAUUUAUAUAA